AACUUUAAUUACUGACCAUCAUUCACAAAAAAUGUUUGUAUUUUAAAAUUCUCAUUAUACAAGUGAUGAAUAACUAAAACUAACGAUGGACCGAAAUGAAUAGACUCAACAAGAAUAUUUGAUCGGUGUCGCGCAGGCGCAUAUUUUUCGCGACAAUAAAAAAACGUUGGCGCGCGAUGCUCUCUUACGAAAACGUUUGCUUAUAAGUUCAGUUUACCGUCAAGUUUCGCGGCGCGUACAAUUAGAGGAUCUAACAAGCAUCAUUCAAUCUCACGAGAAUAAGCACUUCAUUAGUUAUAACUUAUAACAGAAUAAAUUAAGCACCUGAUUAUCAUGACAUGAUUUAUUCAAUGUUUCUUGGCAAGAUUAAGUUUGUUAAUUAUCACCGCAAAUGAUUAAAAAUUAUUUAGCCGCUAAUUUUGUUGUUUAAAAAUGAUUUUUGAAGUUCAUCAUAAGAGAGUGAAAAUGUGACUUUUGGUUUAAAAAAAUUUGCGUAAUAAUUUUGUGGUUUUUGGUUUUCAUUUUUUGUUACUGUAGUUAGGAACUAAUUUUUUUUAUGAUUAAUAAUGUUGAAUAAACUCACACGAAAAACCAUGAUAGAAGGGCACAAUACAGUAACGAGCUUAUGAUUCGGCGUAUUUUUUUAGAUAAACACACAUAAAAUCACGUUUAAAUAAAUUUACGGUUCUGCAAAAAAUGGAGCUCAGAAAAAUUGAUACUUUCUCAACAUGACAACCGCCGAGCUUAAAUUAUUUACAAUUAAUAAAAUAAAAUCUUACUAUGAAUUUAAUUAUUUUUAUUGCACUAAUA
Molecule: long non-coding RNA, 810 nt
Organism: Cotesia glomerata
Lineage: Eukaryota; Metazoa; Arthropoda; Insecta; Hymenoptera; Braconidae
Exons: 3
Source: RefSeq, a predicted model, not a curated record